RNAcentral lists this ribosomal RNA (253 nucleotides) under uncultured bacterium. Its description in RNAcentral is "partial 16S ribosomal RNA". It matches the Rfam family "Bacterial small subunit ribosomal RNA", at positions 524 to 776 of the family's 1533-position model. The record is from RNAcentral. RNAcentral also lists the same sequence under 1 other name.
GACGUAGGGCGCGAGCGUUGUCCGGAUUUAUUGGGCGUAAAGAGCUCGUAGGCGGCUCGUUGCGUCGGCUGUGAAAACCCGCAGCUCAACUGUGGGCUUGCAGCUGAUACGGGCGGGCUGGGAUUCGGUAGGGGAGACUGGAAUUCCUGGUGUAGCGGUGAAAUGCGCAGAUAUCAGGAGGAACACCGGUGGCGAAGGCGGGUCUCUGGGCCGAUAUCGACGCUGAGGAGCGAAAGCGUGGGGAGCGAACAGG